UGCUCCCACAUUGAACUCUACUUUUUGGGUCCAUGCACCUACUUAUUUCUAAACAUCUAAGCGCAAUUAUACCCCUGCCUCCUGAUGUGCCAUAUAACCUGUAUCUCUCCAAUUGUGUGUGUGUGUGUGAGAGAGAAUGUGUGCACGCAGAUAUAAGAAGUUGGGGUUGAUGAUCCACAUGAUGGUGAUGGACCAGGACAGCUCUGGACCUCCUGACUGGCAGCUCCAUCCUCAACCUCUUCCUGCCCUUCACACAUGUGCAGGCAGAGAGGCAGUUUUCUGAAGGAUGGUUGAUGUCAGUACCAACAUGUUGUGAUGGAGGCUUCCACCUGAGCUGAACACAGAAACUUGCACACAGUGAUGGAAGCAGUCGUUCCUGUUCAGCAUUGAUAUGCCGGUAAUGGGUUUGAUGAGCCACAGCAUGGUGAUGGGCAAUCAGCAUCAGGACCAGGGCCGCUCACAAGGAGAACCUCCUGCCCUGCCUCUUCAUCCUCAACCUCCAAUCUUCCUGCUCUUCACACAUGUGCAGGCACGGAGCCAGCUUUCAGAGGGAGGGCUGAUGACACCAGCAACUUCGGAUCUGAACCUGAUCAACCCAGCACCAACCACUGUGCCGCUCCUCCUCUGCCAACUGCACCACAUGGCUCCACCAUCUCAAAAAAGCACAGACACUACUCCACUUCCUGCGAAGGAUGAGAGAAGAGCCGACCUCCCCACAUCGGCACUCACCACCUUCUACAGGGGUGUCAUUGAGAGCACCCUGGCCAGCAGCCUCUCUGUCUGGCAUGGCAGCCGUCAAGAGUGGUGAGGACAGCAGAAAAGCUCAUAAGAUCACCCCUACCAGCCAUUCCGGAUCUGUACACUUCACACUGUUCCAAGAGGGCAAUGAACAUAAAGACACAACUCAUCCAGCACACAGACCACCCUCCCUACUACCAUCAGGGAAGCGCUAGCCCACCAUGCGGUGCUGCAAAAGCACACUGGGAAACGGCUUCUUUCCACAAGCCAUCAGACUCCUCAACGCACUGAAGAAAACCACAUGAAUAACCAAGGACACGAGAGAAUAUUCCAUGAACACUUCUUUCACCAUGCCACUUACAUUUUACUCAUUGCACCUUGUAUACAGCAUCUUCACAUCACCUGUAUGAACUCCUCCUGCCAUGUGUGUGUGUGUGUCCACUGUGUUUGUGUAUUUAUUGUCCAUCAGUAUGUUAAUUGCACACUGUUUGGGUGUGAGUGUAUUUAUAGUAUGUAUCAGUCUGUAUUUAAUGUCAAUGCCUUAUUUUUAGUUAUUAGUUAAAUGCACAUUGGAGACUGGUCAAACACAAUUUCAAACUUUGUGUUAACCCUCCAUAGAUUUUUUUGUCAAAAAAUGGAGUCUAAUCUACUGUACUAGGCUAUCAACAGACCACACAGUUGAGUGCUGUUUUAUGCACUCUGAAUAUGAGGAGAGGAAGAGGUGACCGUUCACACUUCAUAGUGUAAAAGUAAACGGAAAUAAAUUUUCACAUUUCA
Long non-coding RNA from Engraulis encrasicolus (European anchovy), 1515 nucleotides. RefSeq lists it as uncharacterized. The transcript is spliced from 4 exons. Lineage: Eukaryota; Metazoa; Chordata; Actinopteri; Clupeiformes; Engraulidae. The record is from RefSeq and is a predicted model, not a curated record.